GGGUCAGUAGGUUGGUCGUGCCACCGGUACGUACUGGUCUCACUGAUUCCUCCUUCUUGAAGAACCGUAAUGCCAUUAAUUUGGUGUUGCGGGGAAACAGGACUGUUACUUUGAAAAAAUUAGAGUGUUUAGAGCAAGCUAACGCUUGAAUACAUUAGCAUGGAAUAAUGAAAUAGGACGAUCGAUCCUAUUUUGUUGGUUUCUAGGAUUGACGUA
This 216-nucleotide ribosomal RNA is filed under the name Glomeromycotina sp. RNAcentral's name for it is "partial small subunit ribosomal RNA". The stretch from base 40 to 216 matches the Rfam family "Eukaryotic small subunit ribosomal RNA", at positions 686 to 864 of the family's 1831-position model. The record is from RNAcentral. Lineage: Eukaryota; Fungi; Glomeromycota.